UACGGGGGGGGCAAGCGUUGUUCGGAAUUACUGGGCGUAAAGGGCUCGUAGGCGGCCAACUAAGUCAGACGUGAAAUCCCUCGGCUUAACCGGGGAACUGCGUCUGAUACUGGUUGGCUUGAAUCCGGGAGAGGGAUGUGGAAUUCCAGGUGUAGCGGUGAAAUGCGUAGAUAUCUGGAGGAACACCGGUGGCGAAGGCGGCAUCCUGGACCACAACUGACACUGAGAGACGAAAGCCAGGGGAGCAAACGGG
RNAcentral lists this ribosomal RNA (253 nucleotides) under uncultured bacterium. Its description in RNAcentral is "partial 16S ribosomal RNA". It matches the Rfam family "Bacterial small subunit ribosomal RNA", at positions 524 to 776 of the family's 1533-position model. The record is from RNAcentral.